UUCUAUAACCAGAAAUCCUUUAACCAGAGGUCUAUAACCAGAAAUUCUUUAACCAGAAAUCCUUUAACCAGAGUUCUAUAACCAGAAAUCCUUUAACCAGAGGUCUAUAACCAGAAAUUCUUUAACCAGAAAUCCUUUAACCAGAGUUCUAUAACCAGAAAUCCUUUAACCAGAGGUCUAUAACCAGAAAUCCUUUAACUAAAGGUCUAUAACCAGAAAUCCUUUAACUAAAGGUCUAUAACCAGAAAUCCUUUAACCGGAGCUCCAUAACCAAAAAAUCCUUUAACCGGAGACCUUUAACCAGAGUACUUGAACUUGAAGCCCAAUAGAAUACAUUUGUCUGUUUCUUGUAUGAUCAGCAGGUGGCAGGCUACACCAUGC
Molecule: long non-coding RNA, 381 nt
Organism: Ictalurus punctatus (channel catfish)
Lineage: Eukaryota; Metazoa; Chordata; Actinopteri; Siluriformes; Ictaluridae
Source: Ensembl